RNAcentral lists this unclassified non-coding RNA (181 nucleotides) under Glomus sp. Its description in RNAcentral is "partial contains 5.8S ribosomal RNA and internal transcribed spacer 2". The stretch from base 1 to 71 matches the Rfam family "5.8S ribosomal RNA", at positions 84 to 154 of the family's 154-position model. The record is from RNAcentral. Lineage: Eukaryota; Fungi; Glomeromycota; Glomeromycetes; Glomerales; Glomeraceae.
GUGAAUCAUCAAAUUUUUGAACGCACAUUGCACUUUCUGGUAUUCCGGAAAGUAUGCCUGUUUCAGGGUCAGUUAAAUAAACAUCGGAGUUGUUGCUGCCUUUCGUGGUGACGCGUCUGGAUCUGGUCGUCUUACCUUCGGUUAGGUGACUUAAAAUUUUUGCAUGCUUUUCGUACGUAUU